GACUGUAGUCGUUGCAGUUAAUCCUUAGGUCGCUGGUUCGAAUCCGGCAGGUCGGAUUU
This 59-nucleotide small RNA is filed under the name Oryza sativa Japonica Group (Japanese rice). RNAcentral's name for it is "sRNA Os05g0311075". The record is from RNAcentral. Lineage: Eukaryota; Viridiplantae; Streptophyta; Magnoliopsida; Poales; Poaceae.